This 424-nucleotide ribosomal RNA is filed under the name uncultured prokaryote. Its description in RNAcentral is "partial 16S ribosomal RNA". The record is from RNAcentral.
CCCUAUGGGGUGCAGCAGGCUUUGGCGGGGUGCGAUCUGAUUUUAAUGGAGUCGAAUUACGACCGCAAUAUGCUCAUGGCCGGGAAUUACCCUUAUGCCCUCAAACGCAGAAUCGACAGCGCGUCAGGGCAUCUUUCCAACGCCGACUGCGCCGAUUUUUUGCCGGAACUGAUUGCCGCGGGAACCACCCACAUCCAGCUUGGGCACUUAAGUCAAGAGAAUAAUAUGCCCCGAUUGGCCAAGGAAACGGCGUUAGCAGCCCUUAUCCAGGCCGGUAUGCAGCCGGAUCAGGAUUACCAGCUUGGCGUCGCGCCCCGAUUUGAACCGGGAAAUCUCAUACGAUUGUAGCUUUUGGAGUAAACAAAUGCAGACAGUAACCAUUUUGUGCGUUGGAAAACUCAAAGAAUCCUAUUGGCGGGAGGGC